This 253-nucleotide ribosomal RNA is filed under the name uncultured bacterium. RNAcentral's name for it is "partial 16S ribosomal RNA". It matches the Rfam family "Bacterial small subunit ribosomal RNA", at positions 524 to 776 of the family's 1533-position model. The record is from RNAcentral.
UACGUAGGGGGCGAGCGUUGUUCGGAAUUACUGGGCGUAAAGGGAGUGUAGGCGGCUUGUUAAGUCUUCUGUGAAAUCUACGGGCUCAGCCUGUAACGUGCAGAGGAAACUGGCGAGCUUGAGUGUCGGAGAGGAUAGGGGAAUACCCGGUGUAGAGGUGAAAUUCGUAGAGAUCGGGUGGAACACCAGUGGCGAAGGCGCCUAUCUGGCUGACAACUGACGCUGAGACUCGAAAGCAUGGGGAGCAAACAGG